UCUCUGGUAGUAUAGUGGUGAGUAUCCGCGCCUGUCACGUGCGAGACCGGGGUUCGAUUCCCCGCCAGAGAG
This is a transfer RNA of Strongyloides venezuelensis, 72 nucleotides long. It matches the Rfam family "tRNA". Rfam says of the family: Transfer RNA (tRNA) molecules are approximately 80 nucleotides in length. Their secondary structure includes four short double-helical elements and three loops (D, anti-codon, and T loops). NCBI's taxonomy places the organism in Eukaryota, Metazoa, Nematoda, Chromadorea, Rhabditida, Strongyloididae. The record is from Rfam.